UACAACCAACUCAUUGACUGUGUACCUGC
RNAcentral lists this non-coding RNA (29 nucleotides) under Mus musculus (house mouse). Lineage: Eukaryota; Metazoa; Chordata; Mammalia; Rodentia; Muridae. The record is from RNAcentral.